ACGUAGGCAGCAAGCGUUGUUCGGAGUUACUGGGCGUAAAGAGUGUGUAGGCGGUUUCGUAAGUUUGGUGUGAAAUCUCCCGGCUUAACUGGGAGGGUGCGCCGAAUACUGCGAGGCUCGAGUGCCGGAGAGGUAAGCGGAAUUCCUGGUGUAGCGGUGAAAUGCGUAGAUAUCAGGAGGAACACCGGUGGUGUAGACGGCUUACUGGACGGCCACUGACGCUGAGACACGAAAGCGUGGGUAGCAAACAG
Molecule: ribosomal RNA, 251 nt
Filed under: uncultured prokaryote
Description: partial 16S rRNA
Rfam family: Bacterial small subunit ribosomal RNA
Source: RNAcentral